This 1319-nucleotide long non-coding RNA is filed under the name Gadus morhua (Atlantic cod). RNAcentral's name for it is "lncRNA (ENSGMOG00000031983.1)". Lineage: Eukaryota; Metazoa; Chordata; Actinopteri; Gadiformes; Gadidae. The record is from RNAcentral.
CUACAGUGGUUGGUGCCUGGAACCAAUGUUUUAGCUCGUCUUCCCAACACGAAAAGUUCACUAUUUUCCAAUUAUAAUUGGAAAACCAAUUACUCGCAUGAAAAUCUGUCACGGUCUGUCCGCCACGCCCCCUUCACCCUCGCAGCUGGGCUGCGUCAGGUGGUUAGUGGAGCCUUUAAGUUGACUGAACACUGUUCACCUGUUGCCAGCUUGUCUUCGCUGUUGGUUCAUGCUAGUCUCUCGAGCUAUUCGCCUGUCUCCUGUUCCCGGUUUACCGAUCCUGCCUGUUCCCGACUACGUUCCCCGCCUCGUCCUACUGGAUCCUCGUUCGCCUGUCUCCUGUCCCGGCUUCCCGACCCUGCCUGUCCCCGACUACGUUCCCCGUCUCGUCCUACUGGACCCUCGUUCGCCUGUCUCCUGUCCCGGCUUCCCGACCCUGCCUGUCCCCGACUACGCUCCCCGUCUCGUCCCUCUGGAUCCUCGUUCGCCUGUCUGCUGCCCCGGUUUCCCGAUCCUGCCUGCCCCCGACUACGUUCUUCGCCCCGGUUUCCCGAUCCUGCCUGCCCCCGACUACGUUCUUCGCCCCGUCCCCGUUGAUUUGCUUGACGAAGUAAAGAUCGGGUUAUCAUUGUGUUUGCUGGUCUCUGAGUCGUGCUUUUGGGUUCAAAUCUGCCAGUCUCUUCAGUGGAGCGUGACAAAAUCCCUACCUCCAGGCAUAUGAUUGGUCAAUAGAAUUAGAAUACGAAAAAAAUUGUGAGACCCGGUCAAACCAGAUUUGAGCUGGUCUGCUGUCAGACUAGUUCAAAUCUUUAAAAGGCUUUAGACAUCAGUCUGAAGUCGUGUUCGUGAGACUUGUUGUGUGACCACCACAAACCCUUUAGAUUUGUUCCCUUUCCUUCCUUCUCAAGAUAGAAAAUAACUUUAAAAGCCUUUCUAAACCCACGCUCCUACACUUGUGUUGAGUAUCAAUAGAGAAAUAUCAGUCUGCAAUCACAGUUCCUUCCAAACAAAUUGCACCUCCUUUAAAAUCAGAAUAUCUUUUUGCACGCAUUGUUUAAUGACAAAUCAAUUAAUGUGAAUUGAGGCUUCUUUUCCUGUCGGAAUUUAGGGUUCCUCAAACGAUGCCUUUGUGGUUUGACAUGGUGCCUCCCCAUGGGUGGGGCUUUGUGUGAUGUUGAGAGGGUAGUAAGGGGAGUUGGGGGCUAUUAAUCAAGUUUAAUGAUGCGGGGAGUGAUCGCUUUAUGCCUUCAUGUCAGCAGGAGAUGGUAGUUUACUAUUUAGCAUGACUGCUUAAGCUCCCAGAGAAUGUUUAAUAGGAA